This 380-nucleotide ribosomal RNA is filed under the name uncultured bacterium. RNAcentral describes it as "bacterial SSU rRNA". It matches the Rfam family "Bacterial small subunit ribosomal RNA", at positions 29 to 410 of the family's 1533-position model. The record is from RNAcentral.
AUUGAACGCUGGCGGCAUGCCUUACACAUGCAAGUCGAACGGCAGCACGGGAGCAAUCCUGGUGGCGAGUGGCGAACGGGUGAGUAAUAUAUCGGAACGUGCCCGGUCGUGGGGAUAACGUAGCGAAAGCGUACGCUAAUACCGCAUACGAUCUACGGAUGAAAGCGGGGGAUCGCAAGACCUCGCGCGAUUGGAGCGGCCGAUAUCAGAUUAGGUAGUUGGUGAGGUAAAGGCUCACCAAGCCGACGAUCUGUAGCUGGUCUGAGAGGACGACCAGCCACACUGGGACUGAGACACGGCCCAGACUCCUACGGGAGGCAGCAGUGGGGAAUUUGGACAAUGGGCGCAAGCCUGAUCCAGCAAUGCCGCGUGGCAGGAUG